This 394-nucleotide ribosomal RNA is filed under the name uncultured bacterium. Its description in RNAcentral is "partial 16S ribosomal RNA". It matches the Rfam family "Bacterial small subunit ribosomal RNA", at positions 523 to 918 of the family's 1533-position model. The record is from RNAcentral.
AUACGUAGGGUGCAAGCGUUAAUCGGAAUUACUGGGCGUAAAGCGUGCGCAGGCGGUUUUGUAAGACAGGGGUGAAAUCCCCGGGCUCAACCUGGGAACUGCCAUUGUGACUGCAAGGCUGGAGUGCGGCAGAGGGGGAUGGAAUUCCGCGGGUAGCAGUGAAAUGCGUAGAUAUGCGGAGGAACACCGAUGGCGAAGGCAAUCCCCUGGGCCUGCACUGACGCUCAUGCACGAAAGCGUGGGGAGCAAACAGGAUUAGAUACCCUGGUAGUCCACGCCCUAAACGAUGUCAACUGGUUGUUGGGGAUUGUUUUCUCAGUAACGAAGCUAACGCGUGAAGUUGACCGCCUGGGGAGUACGGCCGCAAGGUUAAAACUCAAAGGAAUUGACGGGG